RNAcentral lists this ribosomal RNA (253 nucleotides) under uncultured bacterium. Its description in RNAcentral is "partial 16S ribosomal RNA". It matches the Rfam family "Bacterial small subunit ribosomal RNA", at positions 524 to 776 of the family's 1533-position model. The record is from RNAcentral.
UACGAAGGGGGCUAGCGUUGUUCGGAAUCACUGGGCGUAAAGCGCACGUAGGCGGCUUUUUAAGUCAGGGGUGAAAUCCCGGGGCUCAACCUCGGAACUGCCUUUGAUACUGGAGAUCUUGAGUCCGGAAGAGGUAAGUGGAACUGCGAGUGUAGAGGUGAAAUUCGUAGAUAUUCGCAAGAACACCAGUGGCGAAGGCGGCUUACUGGUCCGGAACUGACGCUGAUGUGCGAAAGCGUGGGGAGCAAACAGG